GCCGGAGGAAGUGGGGACGACGUCAAGUCAGCAUGACCUUUAUAUCCAGGGCUACACACACGCUACAAUGGUCAGUACAAUGGGUUGCCAAGCCGCGAGGCGGAGCCAAUCCUAAAAAGCUGGCCUCAGUUCAGAUUGCAGUCUGAAACUCGACUGCAUGAAGUCGGAGUUGCUAGUAAACGCAGGUCAGCUAUACUGCGUUGAAUACGUUCCCGGGGCUU
RNAcentral lists this ribosomal RNA (221 nucleotides) under uncultured Anaerolineaceae bacterium. RNAcentral's name for it is "partial 16S ribosomal RNA". It matches the Rfam family "Bacterial small subunit ribosomal RNA", at positions 1162 to 1382 of the family's 1533-position model. The record is from RNAcentral. Lineage: Bacteria; Bacillati; Chloroflexota; Anaerolineae; Anaerolineales; Anaerolineaceae.